AUGCUACUGAGAUGGAUCCACCAGUGGAAGAGUUCCUGCAGCACCGAUGGACACACUCAGGGUGCCCACCACCACGAAAAGCCGUGUGACAGAGUCUUGAGCCUCAUUCUAAUAUCAUGCAUGCUGCAUUCAACCAACAUAAAUGCAAACAGAAAGACUGAAUUUAUGCCAGCAAGUCACAAUAAGCCGUGCAUUGGCAAAAUAUUUAAUCGUGCUGAAAUUGGAGGCCGCAUCCUCACACGUGGCUUUACUUUGGCAUUGCAAACUGCACAUCUUCUAAAGAUUAAUAUUAUUAUAUACGUCGCUGUAGCACUAUAUAUGAUUGCUUGCAGCAACACAUUAACGGAGCAUUAA
RNAcentral lists this long non-coding RNA (354 nucleotides) under Pavo cristatus (Indian peafowl). RNAcentral's name for it is "lncRNA (ENSPSTG00000005694.1)". The record is from RNAcentral. Lineage: Eukaryota; Metazoa; Chordata; Aves; Galliformes; Phasianidae.